This 460-nucleotide ribosomal RNA is filed under the name uncultured bacterium. RNAcentral's name for it is "partial 16S ribosomal RNA". It matches the Rfam family "Bacterial small subunit ribosomal RNA", at positions 338 to 795 of the family's 1533-position model. The record is from RNAcentral.
CCUACGGGAGGCAGCAGUGAGGAAUAUUGGUCAAUGGACGAAAGUCUGAACCAGCCAUGCCGCGUGCAGGAUGACGGCUCUAUGAGUUGUAAACUGCUUUUGUAUUAGGGUAAACACCCCUACGUGUCGGGGCUUGAAAGUAUAAUACGAAUAAGGAUCGGCUAACUCCGUGCCAGCAGCCGCGGUAAUACGGAGGGUGCAAGCGUUGUCCGGAAUCAUUGGGCGUAAAGAGUUCGUAGGCGGUAUGUUAAGUCUGGUGUUAAAUGCAGAAGCUCAACUUCUGUUCGGCACUGGAUACUGGCAAACUAGAAUGCGGUAGAGGUAAAGGGAAUUCCUGGUGUAGCGGUGAAAUGCUUAGAUAUCAGGAGGAACAUCGGUGGCGUAAGCGCUUUACUGGGCCGUAAUUGACGCUGAGGAACGAAAGCCAGGGUAGCAAAUGGGAUUAGAUACCCCUGUAGUC